This 81-nucleotide transfer RNA is filed under the name Ixodes scapularis (black-legged tick). It matches the Rfam family "tRNA". From Rfam's summary of the family: Transfer RNA (tRNA) molecules are approximately 80 nucleotides in length. Their secondary structure includes four short double-helical elements and three loops (D, anti-codon, and T loops). Further hydrogen bonds mediate the characteristic L-shaped molecular structure. tRNAs have two regions of fundamental functional importance: the anti-codon, which is responsible for specific mRNA codon recognition, and the 3' end, to which the tRNAs corresponding amino acid is attached (by aminoacyl-tRNA synthetases). tRNAs cope with the degeneracy of the genetic code in two manners: having more than one tRNA (with a specific anti-codon) for a particular amino acid; and 'wobble' base-pairing, i.e. permitting non-standard base-pairing at the 3rd anti-codon position. The record is from Rfam by way of RNAcentral. Lineage: Eukaryota; Metazoa; Arthropoda; Arachnida; Ixodida; Ixodidae.
GCAGUCAGGGCCGAGUGGUUAAGGUGAUGGACUAGAAUCCCUUAGGGUCUACCCUCACAGGUUCGAAUCCUGUCGACUGCA